This 260-nucleotide ribosomal RNA is filed under the name uncultured bacterium. RNAcentral describes it as "partial 16S ribosomal RNA". It matches the Rfam family "Bacterial small subunit ribosomal RNA", at positions 538 to 793 of the family's 1533-position model. The record is from RNAcentral.
GCGUUAAUCGGAAUUACUGGGCGUAAAGCGCAUGGCAGGCGGCCUGUUAAGUCAGAUGUGAAAGUCCCGGGGCUUAACCUCGGAAUUGGCAUUUGAAACUGGCAGGCUAGAGUCUUGUAGAGGGGGUAGAAUUUCAGGUGUAGCGGUGAAAUGCGUAGAGAUCUGAAGGAAUACCAGUGGCGAAGGCCGGCCCCCUGGACAAAGACUGACGCUCAGAUGCGAAAGCGUGGGGAGCAAACAGGAUUAGAUACCCCUGGUAG